Molecule: long non-coding RNA, 290 nt
Organism: Haliaeetus leucocephalus (bald eagle)
Lineage: Eukaryota; Metazoa; Chordata; Aves; Accipitriformes; Accipitridae
Exons: 3
Source: RefSeq, a predicted model, not a curated record
CCCUGACGAGCUGCCCCCCGAAGAGCUGCUCCCCAGCGAGCUGCCCCCCGAGGAAGACCCUAAGCCACCAGGUCUCCUUCCUGAGGUGGCUGUGGCAGAGGAAGCACCAGCCCUGGCCCCAGAGGUGCCCCCUGAAGAGGAGAUGGAGAUGGAGCCGGAGCCCUUACUGCCCCCCGAGACGGCACCCCCACCCCCGGCUCCCCCAGAUCUCCGCGCCAUCUCACCUGCCCACCCCCCAGACCCCUUGCCUGACGCCAAGGAGGACAAGGUGCCCGAGCCGCCCACCCCAG